This 480-nucleotide ribosomal RNA is filed under the name uncultured bacterium. Its description in RNAcentral is "bacterial SSU rRNA". It matches the Rfam family "Bacterial small subunit ribosomal RNA", at positions 330 to 801 of the family's 1533-position model. The record is from RNAcentral.
ACCGUACUCCUACGGGAGGCAGCAGUGGGGAAUUUUGGACAAUGGGGGCAACCCUGAUCCAGCAAUGCCGCGUGAAUGAAGAAGGCCUUCGGGUUGUAAAGCUCUUUUGUCAGGGAAGAAACGGUAGUAGCUAAUAUCUAUUACUAAUGACGGUACCUGAAGAAUAAGCACCGGCUAACUCCGUGUCAGCAGCCGCGGUAAUACGGAGGGUGCAAGCGUUAAUCGGAAUUACUGGGCGUAAAGCGCACGCAGGCGGUCUGUUAAGUCAGAUGUGAAAUCCCCGGGCUCAACCUGGGAACUGCAUUUGAAACUGGCAGGCUUGAGUCUUGUAGAGGGGGGGUAGAAUUCCAGGUGUAGCGGUGAAAUGCGUAGAGAUCUGGAGGAAUACCGGUGGCGAAGGCGGCCCCCUGGACAAAGACUGACGCUCAGGUGCGAAAGCGUGGGGAGCAAACAGGAUUAGAUACCCCAGUAGUCCUUGAC